RNAcentral lists this ribosomal RNA (482 nucleotides) under uncultured bacterium. RNAcentral describes it as "SSU rRNA". It matches the Rfam family "Bacterial small subunit ribosomal RNA", at positions 26 to 518 of the family's 1533-position model. The record is from RNAcentral.
AGGACGAACGCUGGCGGCGUGCCUAACACAUGCAAGUCGAACGAGGUCCAACCGGUGGCAACACUGGUGAAGACCGAGUGGCGAACGGGUGAGUAACACGUGAGCAACCUGCCUCGAAGACUGGGAUAACCCCGGGAAACCGGAGCUAAUACCGGAUACCCCCACCGGGUCGCAUGGCCUGGUGAGGAAAUGGAUUCCGCUUUGAGAGGGGCUCGCGGCCUAUCAGCUUGAUGGUGGGGUAAUGGCCUACCAUGGCACCGACGGGUAGCUGGUCUGAGAGGACGAUCAGCCACACUGGGACUGAGACACGGCCCAGACUCCUACGGGAGGCAGCAGUGGGGAAUCUUGCGCAAUGGGCGAAAGCCUGACGCAGCAACGCCGCGUGUGGGACGAAGGCCUUCUGGGUUGUAAACCACUUUCAGCAGGGACGAUUGUGACGGUACCUGCAGAAGAAGCCCGGCCAACUACGUGCCAGCAGCCGC